Molecule: ribosomal RNA, 700 nt
Filed under: Acinetobacter sp. PC11
Lineage: Bacteria; Pseudomonadati; Pseudomonadota; Gammaproteobacteria; Moraxellales; Moraxellaceae
Description: bacterial SSU rRNA
Rfam family: Bacterial small subunit ribosomal RNA
Source: RNAcentral
AACGCUGACCGGCAGGCUUAAUCAUGCAAGUCGCGCGGAGAGAGGUAGCUUGCUACUGAUCUUAGCGGCGGACGGGUGAGUAAUGCUUAGGAAUCUGCCUAUUAGUGGGGGACAACAUUUCGAAAGGAAUGCUAAUACCGCAUACGUCCUACGGGAGAAAGCAGGGGAUCUUCGGACCUUGCGCUAAUAGAUGAGCCUAAGUCGGAUUAGCUAGUUGGUGGGGUAAAGGCCUACCAAGGCGACGAUCUGUAGCGGGUCUGAGAGGAUGAUCCGCCACACUGGGACUGAGACACGGCCCAGACUCCUACGGGAGGCAGCAGUGGGGAAUAUUGGACAAUGGGCGCAAGCCUGAUCCAGCCAUGCCGCGUGUGUGAAGAAGGCCUUAUGGUUGUAAAGCACUUUAAGCGAGGAGGAGGCUACUUUAGAUAAUACCUAGAGAUAGUGGACGUUACUCGCAGAAUAAGCACCGGCUAACUCUGUGCCAGCAGCCGCGGUAAUACAGAGGGUGCAAGCGUUAAUCGGAUUUACUGGGCGUAAAGCGCGCGUAGGCGGCUAAUUAAGUCAAAUGUGAAAUCCCCGAGCUUAACUUGGGAAUUGCAUUCGAUACUGGUUAGCUAGAGUGUGGGAGAGGAUGGUAGAAUUCCAGGUGUAGCGGUGAAAUGCGUAGAGAUCUGGAGGAAUACCGAUGGCGAAGGCAGCC